This is a microRNA precursor of Brassica oleracea var. oleracea, 125 nucleotides long. It matches the Rfam family "MIR9563 microRNA precursor family". NCBI's taxonomy places the organism in Eukaryota, Viridiplantae, Streptophyta, Magnoliopsida, Brassicales, Brassicaceae. The record is from Rfam.
GGAAUAUAAGAACCCGUUUCUUAACUUUUAACUAAAAAGGCUAAAAACCUAUUCUUAAAUAAGAGUUUUAAGAGCCGGUUCUUAACUUUUUUAGUUAAAAGUUAAGAGACGGGUUCUUAUAUUCC